AUGAUCUAAUUGUCUUCAGGUAACUACGAGAACCGUACCGUGUACGAAUCCCUGGACAUCGGGUGGCAGUUGCUGCGUAUCUUCCCCAAGGAGCUGUUGAAACGUAUCCCGGCGUCCACGCUGGCCGAGUUCUAUCCUCGUGACUCUCGACACACCCAAGGUGGAAAGUAAAAUCAAAACAGAGCCGUAUCUAGAUCAUAGAGAAAAUAGGGAGGGUGGUGCUGCAGUGCUAAACAGUACCGUGGCCAUAUUGUGUGUGAGAUGAGACCAGUACCGUGGCCAUAUUGUGUGUGAGAUGAGACCAGUACCGUGGCCAUAUUGUGUGUUUGUGCGAUAAUAUCAGUACAUUGGCCUUAUUGAGACAAGACCAGUACCGUGGUCAUAUUGUAUGAUAGGUAGAUAAGAAAAAUGGGUCAUAUUGAAUGCUAGAUAAGAGCAGUGCCGUGGCCAUAUUGUGUGUGAGAUAAGACCAUAGCCGUGGUCAUGUUGUUGAGGUGGAGAGCCCUUUAUGGUGGCCCUAUAUAGCAGAGAAUAGGUUCUGUAAGUUCUGCGAGAUAAAUUAGUUUCCACAAGAAAAAAGGGUUCUGCGAGAGAGUAGGGUUCUGUGAGAGAAUAGGGUUUUGUGAGAGAGUAGGGUUCCGCAGCACCACCCUCAUAUUAUGUUUGUCUCCAUGUUCCUUCUUCGUUCAUCUAUUUCUAUCUUUAAGUUCAGAAUAAGUUUUGUUGUUACCUCAUUAUGUCGGCGUGAAAUGUGGACGCGUUGAAAGAAAGAAAAAAUGGGGCGGGGCUAGUUGAAAUGAGUGAGCAAAAUUUAAUGUAUCUUCAUUAUAAAUAACUUUGCAUUUUUUAAAAAAUCAGCAUUUUUCUAAAAUAAUAAUUUUUUUAAAAAAUGCUAUAAGAGUCCACUAACACUUGGUAAAACAAUUAAAAGGUAUUGAGUAUC
Molecule: long non-coding RNA, 943 nt
Filed under: Olea europaea subsp. europaea
Lineage: Eukaryota; Viridiplantae; Streptophyta; Magnoliopsida; Lamiales; Oleaceae
Source: RNAcentral